CUCCUGAGUAGCUGGGACUACAGGCGCCCGCCAUUGCGCCCAGCUAAUUUUUUUGUAUUUUUAAUAGAGACGGGGUUUCACCGUUUUAGCCAGGAUGGUCUCCAUCUCCUGACCUUGUGAUCCGCCCUCCUCGGCCUCUCAGAGUGCUGGGAUUACAGGUGUGAGCCACCGCGCCAGACCUAUUGGUUUCUUUUUUUGACACGGAAUCUCACUCUGUCACCCAGGGUGGAGUGCAGUGAUGCAACGUCUCCUUCCAGGGUUCAAGCAGUUCUCCUGCCUCAGGCUCCUAAGUAGCUGGGAUUACAGAAAACUCCUGAGUUCUCCCUGAAAGGAGACUAAAGAACAAUCCUCUCCAGAUGUGUCUGAAUCCUAAAAUGAAUUUUCAAGGAUACAUGUGCAGAACGUGCUGAUUAGAUUUUUGCCAGUGAAGAAUGACA
This 437-nucleotide long non-coding RNA is filed under the name Pongo abelii (Sumatran orangutan). RNAcentral's name for it is "lincRNA". Lineage: Eukaryota; Metazoa; Chordata; Mammalia; Primates; Hominidae. The record is from RNAcentral.